RNAcentral lists this long non-coding RNA (5686 nucleotides) under Nicotiana benthamiana. RNAcentral describes it as "long non-coding RNA (NBEN_LNC015810)". Lineage: Eukaryota; Viridiplantae; Streptophyta; Magnoliopsida; Solanales; Solanaceae. The record is from RNAcentral.
CCCCAUACACACAUUAUCAUUUGUUCCUACUCCACCCAUUUUUCUCACUAUCCCUUGCUUCCCCCCACCACUUCCACGUUAAAGAACCCCAAAAUCUGCUCCAAAAGGAUCUAUCCAUCAACAUCAAUAUUGAGCUCCAACGUUGCUGUGAAAAGGCAGCAACUCUCCUCCCCAAACCAGAGAAAAAUCAAAAGGCAAACAUUAGAAUAGGCCAUUGAACAAAAACGACCCUCCCCCGAAUCGUUUGCUCUUCUUCAUUGAGCUUCAGCUCUUUUGCCCAAAGGAGAUCGAUAAUCAGGGGAAAAAUGGGUGGAAUCUCCAAAAUUCCUACACCCCAAAAUAAGGCAGCGAUCUUUCUUAUUGGUGAAAGGAUCUUUAAUUCUAAUUUCAAAAAACAAUAAAAACGACCGCAGCUUUUGGAUUUGGAAAAUAAAUUCAACUAUAUUGGAUUCUUACACAAGAAGAAGAGCCGACGACUGUCUUCAACAAAAGGAAACGCCCUUCAUUUCCUGUCCGGCGAGCUCAGUUUGGCCAAAAUAAGCAGAAAAAUCCCAUUCUCGUUUGAUAGGUCCGAGUGAAACAGUCCCAAAAAAAAAGUCUCCGACAAGGUCCCGAUUCGAAUUUCCGAUGAGUCAAGUUGUAAUCCUGUUGCUUGGAUGAUGGGUCGAUGUUUAAAAUCCUGUAAUUCGAUCCCAAAGGAAACACAGUUAAGCUCAAUUGAAGGUUUGUUCCUUCUGUUCCGUAAACAUUUUUGUUGCAAUUUACACUUUGUUAUCGAUUUUCUAUUGCCUUACUCUAUUUGUUGCUUGAGUUAGUGUAUAAUCCAUUGUAAAUUUGUUCUAUCUUCUUCACUGUUAUUGCCUUUCUACACAUAUAUAUGUUGUUAAGUGAUUGCAUGAAACUACUCCACUGUUUUCUUUAAAAUUUUCCUUAUUAACAUGUUGAUUGGCUUGUUGAUUCGAAAAAUAGAUUGUUGUAUAGUUUAUUUUUAUAGUUGGUUGAGGUACUUUUUUUUUGGGUGCAAAUUGGAUUUGUUGAAUGUGGAUUAAUGAUUUCAUGGGCUAUUUGUCUAUUUAAAUUUGUUGUAUCUUUUUGUUGUUUAGUUUCGAUGCAAAUUACCUGGAAUGCUUAGGCUAAUAGCCCGCUUGGCUAAGAUGCAAAAAUCAACUUAUUUUGAGAAGUGCUUUUUUUCAAGUGUUUUUCUAAAAAGUACUUUUGGAGAGAAGCAGUUUAUAUUUGGCUAAUUAGUUUGAAAAGCAUUUCUGAGCAACAAUUAGUGUUUUGCCAAGCUUUAAAAAACUGCUUCUAAAUGUAUUUUUCUCAAAAGUGCUUCUCAAAAAAGUGCUGUUUAAGAGAAGCUACUUUUUUCUGUUUCUCCAAAACUGCUUCUGCUUCUCCUCAAAAGCACUUUUUUUCCUUUCAGAAGCUUGGCCAAACAACUCAAAUUUCGACUAAAAAUACUUUUGGCCAAAUAAGUAUUUUUGACAAAAAAUAAACUUGGUCAAACAUGCUAUAAGUUUGAAGGCAGGUUACUGCAUAGUCUAUUCAUGCAAUUGAUAGUAUUACUGUUGGUGAAGAAAUGUUGAAAAUAAAUUAUGCAGCAACUUCACUUAAACAUCGUUGAAGCCGUGACAUAGUUGUGAGUUGUAGUUAAUAAAAUUUUGGGUGCAUUUUAUGUAACCCGAUUAUAACAACUCUGAAAAAUAAAACCUUUUGGAAUAAUUUGAGGUAUGUCAUUUAGCAAAUUUCCAUGGCCCUCGCAAAGUUAAAAAAUGCGUAGUUGCUUUAGGCGCGUUGUUUUAAUAAUAUUACUUUCUUAAAUUCGGGUGCACAUAUAUGUGACCCAAGUCCAAAUCUGAACGGCGUUAGAAUGUGCCAAAAAUCACGGGUGCAUUUAUGUGACGUGAUUCGAGACGUGUUUUAACAAUGUUGUAAAUUUCUUAAAAAAUUAAUUCAAAGUGGUAAGUAAUUGCACUAUAAAUUGAAACAUGUAUUAAAUCACACAUUAGCUAUUUAUAAUAGUUUAAGCAACCGUGCUAGAACCACGGGAUCCGGAGGUGCCUAACACCUUCCCUCGGGUCAAGAAAAUUCCUCACUUAGAAUAUCUGAUUCGCAGACUUCAUUUGGAAAGUCAAAAAUUUUCUCGAUUCGGGAUUCAAGAUAAAUCGGUGACUUAGGACACCAAAAGCCAGACCUAUCCCAAGUGGCGACUUUAAUUGAAUAAAUAAUCCCGAUUUGAAUAAUGUCACUUAAAAUAGAAAAACUCCCUUAUACACUAUCUUUCGGGGUAGAUAUAUAAAAAGGAGGUGUGACAGCUCUGACGACUCUACUGGGGAUACGAACCCAGAAUUUCGAUUCAGGGUUCACGAAUUCGAGCUUAAAAUAACUGUUAUAUUUGGCUUUUUCUGAUUUCCCUACAUGUUUCAUGCUAAAUGUGCUAAAUGCUUAUAUAUAUUUGAUAUUUUGGUGAAUUGUAUAUAUAAACUGCCACGAAAUAUUUCCCCUCUCUAAGUAUUUUACAUCAUUGAGAAGGGUGCACUUUGUGUGACUUCUCUUAUGUUUAGAGUCUUAUCCAUUAUUAGAACGAGGUUCGGACAAGUUGCUAAGCUGGUGAAGCUUCUGUAUUCCCGAUAUGCUGCCCCCCCAUCCGGCUCGAGUUGUCUACUCGGGUAAGCCAGGUCUAGAACAAUAAACCCAGGUUUUAUACCUAGUAUAAGAAAGCCUCAUGCCGUAUCCCUAGUAGGAACGUUUGUUUGCAUCACAUGCAUUUGACUUAGGAGACUCAACACAAGGGUUGGGUUUGUCUAGGAUAGGUGUCCCUGAAACGAAAAGACCAUCCUGAUGCAUCUUACUCGCUACUUGUGCAUUUAUUGUCUUCAGAUUUGCAUGUUGACCAGUUUUGGAUAAUGGGAGAGUUGGAAAAGAGAAUAACAAUAUUAAGGUUAAGUGAGUUAAUCACCCGUUUUCGAAAAACUAAUACCCAAAUAGUACCCCAAACUCUACCGAAUUUUUGAAAAAAUGAAAGAAAAAGAAAGGUUUUUGUUUUCAAAAAUAGUUGGUUUUGUCAAAUCUUUUAUGUGACUUUUCUUCUCUUUAGAGUCUUAUCCCAUUUAGAACGAGGUCCAGACAAGUUGCUAAGCUGGCGGAGCUUCUGUAUCCCCGGUACGCUCCGCCCCCCGGGGGCUCGAGUUGUCCGCUCGGUAAGCCAGGUCUAGAAAAAUAAACCCAAGUUUUAAAACCUAGUAUAACAAAGCCUCAUGCCGGAUCCCUAGUAGGAACUUGGUUUACAUCACGUGCAUUUGACUUUGAAGACUCAACACAGGGGUUGAGUUUGUCUAGGAUAGGUGUACCUGAAAUGAAAAGACCAUCCUGAUGCAUCUUACGUACUACUUGCGCAUUUGUUUGAUUCGGCUUGCAUGUUGACCGGCUUCUAGAAUAGAGGAAGAAAAUAUAUAAAAAAAGAGAGUGAGAGGUAGGUAUUUAGAAAAUUUGAAACUCUGCCGAAAUUCUGAAAAAAGAAAGGUCUUUUCAAAAUGAGCUAACAUUUUCAUGUGUCAUGUUUCCCAUGUUCCGUCAAAUCUAAUUGAACUACGCGGGUCUGAUUCUCACCGGAUGUGAGAUACGUAGGCAAACAUCAUCAGUUCUCACCCCAAUUUUCAAAAAAAAAAUUCCAUUAGUCCUUUCUUUAAAAAUCUUUCCUUAGAAAAUUUAAAAAAAAAGUAGUGUUUAAACUGAAAAUAAAUAAAUAAAUGGUUUCUUUCUUUCAAAUGUCUUUUAUAUGAAAAAUCCAAUAAAAAUCAAAAUCCAAAAUACAGGUUUCUUUGAUUCUGAAGUCUUUUUAGAAAAAGAAAAACAUUCCAAAAAAAAUAUGAGAAACAAAAAUCCAAAAAAAUGUUCUUUAGUUGCUUUUUUUUUUAUUAUAAAAUAUCGAUAAAAACUUUGAAAUUUGAGUUUAAAAAUAUUUUCGCUUUUCUUUAGAAGUGCUUUUGUAAAUAAAUAAAAAACUCAAAAAUCCAAAAUAAUUUCUUAAUAGUCUUUCUUUCGAAAUUAAGAGGUAACGUUCAAAAUCCAAAAAUAUUUUCUUUCUUCCUUAGGAAAAGAUAAAACAAAUAAAAUUCAAACAAAAUUAUUUUCUUUUUACUUCUAAAAUUCCCAAAGUUCCAAUCAAAAGAAAAGGAAUUUUUAGAAGUGUUUAUUUCAAAAAUAAGAAUAGAGUUAAAUUCAAAAAUCCAAAAAAUAAAAUAAAAUCAUUUUCUUCUUUUAAAGUAUUUUUUUAGAAAAUUCCAAAAAGCAACAAAAAUAAAAAAAAUCAAAUUCCUUUAUUCUUUUAAAGCAUUUUUUUCAGAAAAUUCCAAAAAGAGUUAGUUUACUUACUCCAUUCCUAAUCCCCUGAACUACGCAAAAUCUGAUUCAUGCGGGGUCAUGAUACGUAGGCAAUCCUCAUCGGAUUCGAUCAUAGCUAUAAAAUAAACUGAAAAAAAAGAGAAAGAAAAUUGAGUGAAAAAAAGAAUGAAAAAGAAAUGAGUGUCAAAAAAAUAAAAAAGAAAAAGAAAAAGAAAAAGAAAAAGAAAAAGAAGAAAAAAGAGAGUUCCAAUAAUAAAAGAGUGGCACAAACAAAACAAAAAUCAAGAGUGAUUGGAAAGAAACAAAGAUGAGAAAAAAAGGUCCAUACUGAAAGAGUUUGGUAAGACCGGGAUGAAACAUGCAACCGUUCAUAGACACGGUAGAAGCGUUUAACUAUUAGGUGCAUUGCAUCCCAACGUGUGAUUUCCUAUAUGUUAAAUGUACCAAAACUAACAAGGUUGUUGUGUGAGCAAAUUGGUCAGGUUCUAUUAAGAUGGUUGGUUUUGUUGGUAUGCAGUGAUGAACGCGCAACUUUGCACGCGACCACAAUAUUUUACACAAAUUCGAGCUCCACCUCCCAGAAAUGUCCAUCCUUACCCAGCUCCAUAUAAUAACCAAUCAAAUAUUCCGCAGUACAAUCCUCUCCCGAGAGAGCCUUUUAAAAGGAAUUAGCUCACUCCUAUUGGUGAAUCAUACUCGGGUUUGUUCCCAAAGCUAGUCAGGUGAGGUCUGCCAUAGCCUGUGGACCAAAUUCGGCUGGCCCUGGGUCCCUACCGCACUGAGCUGAUGUAUUUGUGAACACGCUGGAGAAGUGGGGCACAGUAGAGAGGACUGUUAGACCCUCAAAAGGGCAAUUGAGGAUCUAAUUGAAGCUGAAAGAAUCAUUUUCCGAGAUGAAGAAGCUACUGAUGUGAUUAACAACCUUUUUCCUGCCCACAACAUCAGGCCAAUUGUCGAAAUGAUUUGUGAAGAUGAGGAAUUUGAUCCGGUCCUGAAGUCCAUAGCAGCCAUUGCCGAGAUAGAAGAAAAUCCAAAAAAUGGUUGCCAAGCUUGAAAGUUCCUCAUCAAAUGGGAGUCUCGGUAGCCAGUUUUGCUAUCCUUUCUGCAUUCAGAUUAUCUCAGGGUGUGAUCCAGAUGUUUUACUUUAUUGUCUUUCUUUCCGAUGUGAACCCUUCUAUAAAAAAAAUCAAAAAAUCAAAAAAUCAAAAUCAAAUGAAAUUAAUAUUUCAUUGUCCAUGAAUGUCUCUUUUCUUAAUCUUAGCAUUUUUUUCUUUCUUAUUCUCUUUUUGUUCUAUUAAAUGCAGAUUUCAAUAGCAUGACAUGCUUGUAGACUUUAUGCCCG